RNAcentral lists this small RNA (568 nucleotides) under Arabidopsis thaliana (thale cress). RNAcentral describes it as "ATSL080210". Lineage: Eukaryota; Viridiplantae; Streptophyta; Magnoliopsida; Brassicales; Brassicaceae. The record is from RNAcentral.
AUUAGCAGCAUACAUAGUCAUGUGUAACAUAAUAAACCCGAACAAGCUGCAAGAACAAAUAAAAAAACCAAACAAACAUUAGCCAAGUAAAGUGUGGAUUAUUUCAAAUGUAAUUUCUGCGUUUGCGUUUAGAUGAGUGAAAAAAACGAGAAAAGAGAACUUUUCAAUUGUGUUUAACUUUUACUAUACUUUUAACAAAUCUGAUGUGUUUAACAUGUUUAAAGUGGUGAAUUCAUUAAGAAAGAAUACGUACUAAGUGUAAACGCAAACAUAUAUACAUGCCCGGCUCUUGGGAGGUGCUGAGUGUGCUAGUGCACCGGGUCCCACUUCUUUAUUCAGUUUUUCUUUAUAUUUUAGGGUCCAAAUGUUCAAAUAAUUGCAAAAUAGGAUCUAGUUUUUAAAUAUUUAGAGUUUUAGGUAAAGAAAUUUGGAGCAUAGCACAGGGUCCAAUAAUUUAUUGGGCCGGCCCUGCAUAUAUAUGAUUGAAGCAUAAUAAGGCCUACCUAUAAAGAGGGAACAUCGUAUUCAUGUAUUGUUUUUGGCCAUCAUCUUGUAAAAUGUUUCGGGU